AAAACACGGCACUUUAUCAGCCUACUAAAAGAAAAAUUAUAUCUAUUCCAGAUUAAAUCAGGACAGAGGGUUACAGAAAAGAGAAUUCAAAGCAUAGGGUUGUGUACUCGAGAGUAUGAAGAGCUGAAUUCCAAGUGAUUAACAGAGGACUGUCAGGGAGUGGACAACUCUGCAUGGUCUGGAGAAGAUCAGUGAAGUGCAGGCAAUGUGCCAGGCAGGCAUGAAAACCUCAGUGUCUGAGGCAUGGAGAAAAAGGGCAUGUGGUACGUCUCAUCUGGAGGAAAGUCAAUUUCACUCUUCUAAUAUCUCACGGUUGGCUGAUGUGAGAAGGAUACCAACUUAA
Molecule: long non-coding RNA, 343 nt
Filed under: Cyanistes caeruleus (blue tit)
Lineage: Eukaryota; Metazoa; Chordata; Aves; Passeriformes; Paridae
Description: lncRNA (ENSCCEG00000015810.1)
Source: RNAcentral